GUCUGCAGGUCAAGGUUCGUCCAAAUAAAUUGCGUCAUUUUAAUCUUAAGUGUAGGUUAUGACUCGAUAAGAUUCACUUGGCAGUAAGUUGAUUGUCGCGAGAUUACAUAAAGCGCACGUCUGUUCUGCCGUAACAGUUGGGGAGUGAAGCCGUACAAAAGACCCGUGAAAGAGAAGCAGCAGAAGGAGCAGACAACCAACCAAACCAUCAAGAAGCUGCUGGCACUGUCCCGACCAGCAUCAGACAAGAAGACUGCUGAGAAGAUAGUACAGCGCGCGG
Molecule: long non-coding RNA, 280 nt
Organism: Plodia interpunctella (Indianmeal moth)
Lineage: Eukaryota; Metazoa; Arthropoda; Insecta; Lepidoptera; Pyralidae
Exons: 3
Source: RefSeq, a predicted model, not a curated record